Molecule: ribosomal RNA, 511 nt
Filed under: uncultured bacterium
Lineage: Bacteria
Description: bacterial SSU rRNA
Rfam family: Bacterial small subunit ribosomal RNA
Source: RNAcentral
UUCGGUACAUCCAAGACAGGUGGUGCAUGGUUGUCGUCAGCUCGUGUCGUGAGAUGUUGGGUUAAGUCCCGCAACGAGCGCAACCCUUAUCUUCAGUAGCCAGCAGGUAAAGCCGGGCACUCUGGAGAGACUGCCGGGGAUAACCCGGAGGAAGGUGGGGAUGACGUCAAAUCAUCAUGCCCCUUAUGAUUUGGGCUACACACGUGCUACAAUGGCGUAAACAGAGGGAAGCGAGCCCGCGAGGGGGAGCAAAUCCCAAAAAUAACGUCCCAGUUCGGAUUGUAGUCUGCAACCCGACUACAUGAAGCUGGAAUCGCUAGUAAUCGCGGAUCAGAAUGCCGCGGUGAAUACGUUUCCGGGUCUUGUACACACCGCCCGUCACACCAUGGGAGUCGGAAAUGCCCGAAGUCUGUGACCUAACCGUAAGGGAGGAGCAGCCGAAGGCAGGUCGGAUGACUGGGGUGAAGUCGUAACAAGGUAGCCGUAUCGGAAGGUGCGGUUGGAUCACCUC